GACGAACGCUGGCGGCGUGCUUAACACAUGCAAGUCGAACGGAAAGGCCCUGCUUUUGUGGGGUGCUCGAGUGGCGAACGGGUGAGUAACACGUGAGUAACCUGCCCUUGACUUUGGGAUAACUUCAGGAAACUGGGGCUAAUACCGGAUAGGAGCUCCUGCUGCAUGGUGGGGGUUGGAAAGUUUCGGCGGUUGGGGAUGGACUCGCGGCUUAUCAGCUUGUUGGUGGGGUAGUGGCUUACCAAGGCUUUGACGGGUAGCCGGCCGGAGAGGGUGACCGGCCACAUUGUGACUGAGAUACGGCCCAGACUCCUACGGGAGGCAGCAGUGGAGAAUAUUGCACAAUGGGCGGAAGCCUGAUGCAGCCACGCCGCGGGCGGGAUGACGGCCUUCGGGUUGUAAACCGCUUUCGCCUGUGACGAAGCGUGAGUGACGGUAAUGGGUAAAGAAGCACCGGCUAACUACGUG
Molecule: ribosomal RNA, 468 nt
Filed under: uncultured bacterium
Lineage: Bacteria
Description: partial 16S ribosomal RNA
Rfam family: Bacterial small subunit ribosomal RNA
Source: RNAcentral